GACGAACGCUGGCGGCGUGCCUAACACAUGCAAGUCGAGCGGAGAUAAGCGGAUGGUAACUGAAGUUUGUCUUAGCGGCGGACGGGUGAGUAACACGUGGGCAACCUGCCUUGGAGUGGGGGAUAACACCGGGAAAUCGGUGCUAAUACCGUAUAACAUACACAUACUGCAUGGUGAGUGUAUCAAAGGAGCAAUCCGCUUUAAGAUGGGCCCGCGGCUGAUUAGCUAGUUGGUAAGGUAACGGCUUACCAAGGCGACGAUCAGUAGCCGACCUGAGAGGGUGACCGGCCACACUGGAACUGAGACACGGUCCAGACUCCUACGGGAGGCAGCAGUGGGAAUAUUGCGCAAUGGGGAAACCCUGACGCAGCAACGCCGCGUGGAGGAAGAAGGUCUUCGGAUCGUAAAGCCCUUUCAGCAGGGAAGAAUGAGGCUGGUGUAAACAGCGCCAGACUCGGGACGGUACCUGCAGAAGAAGCUCCGGCUAACUCCGUGCCAG
RNAcentral lists this ribosomal RNA (499 nucleotides) under uncultured bacterium. RNAcentral describes it as "bacterial SSU rRNA". It matches the Rfam family "Bacterial small subunit ribosomal RNA", at positions 28 to 511 of the family's 1533-position model. The record is from RNAcentral.